CUACGGGUGGCAGCAGUCGAGAAUAGUCUACAAUGGGGGAAACCCUGAUAGUGCGACGCCGCGUGAACGAAGAAGCUUUUCGGGGUGUAAAGUUCUUUUCUGUAUGAGCAAUGCUUUAUUGUUUAAGAGAUAAUAGAGAGAGAUAUUAGUACAGGAAUAAGCCACGGCUAACUCCGUGCCAGCAGCCGCGGUAAUACGGGGGUGGCAAGCGUUGUCCGGAUUUACUAGGCGUAAAGGGCAGGCAGGCGGGUAUUCAAGUCAGGCGUUAAAGGCAUCAGCUCAACUGGUGUACGGCGUUUGAGACUGGAUGUCUAGAGGCCGGUGAAGGUAGAUGGAAUUCCUAGUGUAGCGGUGGAAUGCGCAGAGAUUAGGAAGAACACCAAAGGCGAAGGCAAUCUACUGGGCCAUGGCUGACGCUAAACUGCGAAGGUGUGGGUAUCAAACAGGAUUAGAUACCCGCGUAGUC
This 466-nucleotide ribosomal RNA is filed under the name uncultured bacterium. RNAcentral's name for it is "partial 16S ribosomal RNA". It matches the Rfam family "Bacterial small subunit ribosomal RNA", at positions 339 to 795 of the family's 1533-position model. The record is from RNAcentral.